This 500-nucleotide ribosomal RNA is filed under the name uncultured bacterium. Its description in RNAcentral is "partial 16S ribosomal RNA". It matches the Rfam family "Bacterial small subunit ribosomal RNA", at positions 30 to 523 of the family's 1533-position model. The record is from RNAcentral.
AUUGAACGCUGGCGGAAUGCUUUACACAUGCAAGUCGAACGGCAGCACGGACUUCGGUCUGGUGGCGAGUGGCGAACGGGUGAGUAAUGUAUCGGAACGUGCCCAGUCGUGGGGGAUAACGUAGUGAAAAUUACGCUAAUACCGCAUACGAUCUAUGGAUGAAAGCGGGGGAUCGCAAGACCUCGCGCGAUUGGAGCGGCCGAUAUCAGAUUAGGUAGUUGGUGGGGUAAAGGCCCACCAAGCCAACGAUCUGUAGCUGGUCUGAGAGGACGACCAGCCACACGGGAACUGAGACCCGGUCCAGACUCCUACGGGAGGCAGCAGUGGGGAAUUUUGGACAAUGGGCGAAAGCCUGAUCCAGCCAUUCCGCGUGCAGGAUGAAGGCCCUCGGGUUGUAAACUGCUUUUGUACAGAACGAAAAGGUUUCUACUAAUACUAGGAGCUCAUGACGGUACUGUAAGAAUAAGCACCGGCUAACUACGUGCCAGCAGCCGCAGUAA